AUUGAACGCUGGCGGCAUGCCUUACACAUGCAAGUCGAACGGUAACAGGUCUUCGGAUGCUGACGAGUGGCGAACGGGUGAGUAAUACAUCGGAACGUGCCCGAGAGUGGGGGAUAACGAAGCGAAAGCUUUGCUAAUACCGCAUACGAUCUCAGGAUGAAAGCAGGGGACCGCAAGGCCUUGCGCUCACGGAGCGGCCGAUGGCAGAUUAGGUAGUUGGUGGGAUAAAAGCUUACCAAGCCGACGAUCUGUAGCUGGUCUGAGAGGACGACCAGCCACACUGGGACUGAGACACGGCCCAGACUCCUACGGGAGGCAGCAGUGGGGAAUUUUGGACAAUGGGCGCAAGCCUGAUCCAGCCAUGCCGCGUGCAGGAUGAAGGCCUUCGGGUUGUAAACUGCUUUUGUACGGAACGAAAAGACUCUGGUUAAUACCUGGGGUCCAUGACGGUACCGUAAGAAUAAGCACCGGCUAACUACGUGCCAGCAGCCGCGGUAAUACGUAGGGUGCGAGCGUUAAUCGGAAUUACUGGGCGUAAAGCGUGCGCAGGCGGUUAUGUAAGACAGAUGUGAAAUCCCCGGGCUCAACCCGGGAACUGCAUUUGUGACUGCGUAGCUAGAGUACGGCAGAGGGGGAUGGAAUUCCGCGUGUAGCAGUGAAAUGCGUAGAUAUGCGGAGGAACACCGAUGGCGAAGGCAAUCCCCUGGGCCUGUACUGACGCUCAUGCACGAAAGCGUGGGGAGCAA
Molecule: ribosomal RNA, 746 nt
Filed under: uncultured beta proteobacterium
Lineage: Bacteria; Pseudomonadati; Pseudomonadota; Betaproteobacteria
Description: bacterial SSU rRNA
Rfam family: Bacterial small subunit ribosomal RNA
Source: RNAcentral